RNAcentral lists this ribosomal RNA (301 nucleotides) under uncultured bacterium. Its description in RNAcentral is "partial 16S ribosomal RNA". It matches the Rfam family "Bacterial small subunit ribosomal RNA", at positions 509 to 807 of the family's 1533-position model. The record is from RNAcentral.
CAGUAGCCGCGGGAAUACGAGGGGGGCUAGCGUUGCUCGGAAUGACUGGGCGUAAAGGGCGCGUAGGCGGAUUGUUUAGUUAGGCGUGAAAUUCCUGGGCUUAACCUGGGGACUGCGCUUAAUACAGGCAGUCUAGAGUGAGGAAGAGGGUUGUGGAAUUCCCAGUGUAGAGGUGAAAUUCGUAGAUAUUGGGAAGAACACCGGUGGCGAAGGCGGCAACCUGGUCCUUGACUGACGCUGAGGCGCGAAAGCGUGGGGAGCAAACAGGAUUAGAUACCCCCGUAGUCCCUGUCUCUUAUAC